This is a non-coding RNA of Pelobates cultripes (western spadefoot toad), 239 nucleotides long. NCBI's taxonomy places the organism in Eukaryota, Metazoa, Chordata, Amphibia, Anura, Pelobatidae. The record is from the annotation of a GenBank genome assembly.
GUACUAUGUAAUGCAGUGGUUCCAAAACCAAUCCCUCUGACCCACCACCAGUCCAGGUUGUUGCAGCAUUGGAACAGUAAAUGGAAAUGCCAAAAUCCUGGGCCGUGUUACGUAACCACAAAGACCGGUUUGGAAACCACUGAUGUCGAGUACUGUGGAAAUGGAUGACAAAUCUGUGUAUUGGGUAUGGUUUUAUAGAGCAUGCGGUCCAAAAGCUCCAUCUAGUGGUAGAUUUUGUU